Molecule: ribosomal RNA, 405 nt
Filed under: uncultured bacterium
Lineage: Bacteria
Description: partial 16S ribosomal RNA
Rfam family: Bacterial small subunit ribosomal RNA
Source: RNAcentral
GAUGAACGCUGGCGGCGUGCCUAAUACAUGCAAGUCGAGCGAAGCGGGGACGGGUGAGUAACACGUCGAUAACCUCCUAUAAGACUGGGAUAACUUCGGGAAACCGGAGCUAAUCCGGAUUCUUAUACAUGGUUCCACGCUGCAUUAGCUAGUUGGUAAGGUAACGGCUUACCAAGGCAACGAUGCAUAGCCGGCCUGAGAGGGUGAUCGGCCACACUGGAACUGAGACACGGUCCAGACUCCUACGGGAGGCAGCAGUGGGGAAUAUUCCGCAAUGGGCGAAAGCCUGACGGAGCAACGCCGCGUGAGUGAUGAAGGUCUUCGGAUCGUAAAGCUCUGUUAUUAGGGAAGCGGUACCUAAUCAGAAAGCCACGGCUAACUACGUGCCAGCAGCCGCGGUAAUUC